UUUUGUAUAAUGGGUCAGCGACUUAUAUUCUGUAGCAAGGUUAACCGAAUAGGGGAGCCGAAGGGAAACCGAGUCUUAACUGGGCGUUAAGUUGCAGGGUAUAGACCCGAAACCCGGUGAUCUAGCCAUGGGCAGGUUGAAGGUUGGGUAACACUAACUGGAGGACCGAACCGACUAAUGUUGAAAAAUUAGCGGAUGACUUGUGGCUGGGGGUGAAAGGCCAAUCAAACCGGGAGAUAGCUGGUUCUCCCCGAAAGCUAUUUAGGUAGCGCCUCGUGAAUUCAUCUCCGGGGGUAGAGCACUGUUUCGGCAAGGGGGUCAUCCCGACUUACCAACCCGAUGCAAACUGCGAAUACCGGAGAAUGUUAUCACGGGAGACACACGGCGGGUGCUAACGUCCGUCGUGAAGAGGGAAACAACCCAGACCGCCAGCUAAGGUCCCAAAGUCAUGGUUAAGUGGGAAACGAUGUGGGAAGGCCCAGACAGCCAGGAUGUUGGCUUAGAAGCAGCCAUCAUUUAAAGAAAGCGUAAUAGCUCACUGGUCGAGUCGGCCUGCGCGGAAGAUGUAACGGGGCUAAACCAUGCACCGAAGCUGCGGCAGCGACACUAUGUGUUGUUGGGUAGGGGAGCGUUCUGUAAGCCUGUGAAGGUGUACUGUGAGGUAUGCUGGAGGUAUCAGAAGUGCGAAUGCUGACAUAAGUAACGAUAAAGCGGGUGAAAAGCCCGCUCGCCGGAAGACCAAGGGUUCCUGUCCAACGUUAAUCGGGGCAGGGUGAGUCGACCCCUAAGGCGAGGCCGAAAGGCGUAGUCGAUGGGAAACAGGUUAAUAUUCCUGUACUUGGUGUUACUGCGAAGGGGGGACGGAGAAGGCUAUGUUGGCCGGGCGACGGUUGUCCCGGUUUAAGCGUGUAGGCUGGUUUUCCAGGCAAAUCCGGAAAAUCAAGGCUGAGGCGUGAUGACGAGGCACUACGGUGCUGAAGCAACAAAUGCCCUGCUUCCAGGAAAAGCCUCUAAGCAUCAGGUAACAUCAAAUCGUACCCCAAACCGACACAGGUGGUCAGGUAGAGAAUACCAAGGCGCUUGAGAGAACUCGGGUGAAGGAACUAGGCAAAAUGGUGCCGUAACUUCGGGAGAAGGCACGCUGAUAUGUAGGUGAAGCGACUUGCUCGUGGAGCUGAAAUCAGUCGAAGAUACCAGCUGGCUGCAACUGUUUAUUAAAAACACAGCACUGUGCAAACACGAAAGUGGACGUAUACGGUGUGACGCCUGCCCGGUGCCGGAAGGUUAAUUGAUGGGGUUAGCGGUAACGCGAAGCUCUUGAUCGAAGCCCCGGUAAACGGCGGCCGUAACUAUAACGGUCCUAAGGUAGCGAAAUUCCUUGUCGGGUAAGUUCCGACCUGCACGAAUGGCGUAAUGAUGGCCAGGCUGUCUCCACCCGAGACUCAGUGAAAUUGAACUCGCUGUGAAGAUGCAGUGUACCCGCGGCAAGACGGAAAGACCCCGUGAACCUUUACUAUAGCUUGACACUGAACAUUGAGCCUUGAUGUGUAGGAUAGGUGGGAGGCUUUGAAGUGUGGACGCCAGUCUGCAUGGAGCCGGCCUUGAAAUACCACCCUUUAAUGUUUGAUGUUCUAACGUUGGCCCCUGAUCGGGGUUGCGGACAGUGUCUGGUGGGUAGUUUGACUGGGGCGGUCUCCUCCUAAAGAGUAACGGAGGAGCACGAAGGUUGGCUAAUCCUGGUCGGACAUCAGGAGGUUAGUGCAAUGGCAUAAGCCAGCUUGACUGCGAGCGUGACGGCGCGAGCAGGUGCGAAAGCAGGUCAUAGUGAUCCGGUGGUUCUGAAUGGAAGGGCCAUCGCUCAACGGAUAAAAGGUACUCCGGGGAUAACAGGCUGAUACCGCCCAAGAGUUCAUAUCGACGGCGGUGUUUGGCACCUCGAUGUCGGCUCAUCACAUCCUGGGGCUGAAGUAGGUCCCAAGGGUAUGGCUGUUCGCCAUUUAAAGUGGUACGCGAGCUGGGUUUAGAACGUCGUGAGACAGUUCGGUCCCUAUCUGCCGUGGGCGCUGGAGAACUGAGGGGGGCUGCUCCUAGUACGAGAGGACCGGAGUGGACGCAUCACUGGUGUUCGGGUUGUCAUGCCAAUGGCACUGCCCGGUAGCUAAAUGCGGAAGAGAUAAGUGCUGAAAGCAUCUAAGCACGAAACUUGCCCCGAGAUGAGUUCUCCCUGAGACUUAGAGUCUCCUGAAGGAACGUUGAAGACGACGACGUUGAUAGGCCGGGUGUGUAAGCGCAGCGAUGCGUUGAGCUAACCGGUACUAAUGAACCGUGAGGCUUAACCUU
This 2340-nucleotide ribosomal RNA is filed under the name Escherichia coli. RNAcentral describes it as "partial 23S ribosomal RNA". It matches the Rfam family "Bacterial large subunit ribosomal RNA", at positions 606 to 2925 of the family's 2925-position model. The record is from RNAcentral. Lineage: Bacteria; Pseudomonadati; Pseudomonadota; Gammaproteobacteria; Enterobacterales; Enterobacteriaceae.